RNAcentral lists this ribosomal RNA (478 nucleotides) under uncultured bacterium. RNAcentral's name for it is "partial 16S ribosomal RNA". It matches the Rfam family "Bacterial small subunit ribosomal RNA", at positions 28 to 523 of the family's 1533-position model. The record is from RNAcentral.
GACGAACGCUGGCGGCGUGCUUAACACAUGCAAGUCGAACGGUAAGGCCCUUCGGGGUACACGUGUGGCGAACGGGUGAGUAACACGUGGGUGAUCUGCCCUGCACUUCGGGAUAAGCCUGGGAAACUGGGUCUAAUACCGGAUAGGACUCCGGACUGCAUGGUCUGGGGUGGAAAGCUUUUGCGGUGUGGGAUGGGCCCGCGGCCUAUCAGCUUGUUGGGGGGGUGAUGGCCUACCAAGGCGACGACGGGUAGCCGGCCUGAGAGGGUGACCGGCCACACUGGGACUGAGAUACGGCCCAGACUCCUACGGGAGGCAGCAGUGGGGAAUAUUGCACAAUGGGCGCAAGCCUGAUGCAGCGACGCCGCGUGAGGGAUGACGGCCUUCGGGUUGUAAACCUCUUUCAGCAUCGACGAAGCGAAAGUGACGGUAGGUGCAGAAGAAGGACCGGCCAACUACGUGCCAGCAGCCGCCGUAA